This 415-nucleotide ribosomal RNA is filed under the name Escherichia coli. RNAcentral's name for it is "partial 23S ribosomal RNA". It matches the Rfam family "Bacterial large subunit ribosomal RNA", at positions 2534 to 2925 of the family's 2925-position model. The record is from RNAcentral. Lineage: Bacteria; Pseudomonadati; Pseudomonadota; Gammaproteobacteria; Enterobacterales; Enterobacteriaceae.
GGCUCAUCACAUCCUGGGGCUGAAGUAGGUCCCAAGGGUAUGGCUGUUCGCCAUUUAAAGUGGUACGCGAGCUGGGUUUAGAACGUCGUGAGACAGUUCGGUCCCUAUCUGCCGUGGGCGCUGGAGAACUGAGGGGGGCUGCUCCUAGUACGAGAGGACCGGAGUGGACGCAUCACUGGUGUUCGGGUUGUCAUGCCAAUGGCACUGCCCGGUAGCUAAAUGCGGAAGAGAUAAGUGCUGAAAGCAUCUAAGCACGAAACUUGCCCCGAGAUGAGUUCUCCCUGACCCUUUAAGGGUCCUGAAGGAACGUUGAAGACGACGACGUUGAUAGGCCGGGUGUGUAAGCGCAGCGAUGCGUUGAGCUAACCGGUACUAAUGAACCGUGAGGCUUAACCUUACAACGCCGAAGGUGUUU